Long non-coding RNA from Vitis riparia (riverbank grape), 361 nucleotides. RefSeq lists it as uncharacterized. The transcript has 2 exons. The record is from RefSeq and is a predicted model, not a curated record. Lineage: Eukaryota; Viridiplantae; Streptophyta; Magnoliopsida; Vitales; Vitaceae.
AGUCGCCUUAGCUUCUCUCCAACUGCAUUUCUCUCUUUGGACGUUUGGAUCUCAGCAAAACCUAGCUUUUCCUCGGAUAUUGACUUCAUGGCGCCUUCUCCCGGAGGUUUGCUUUUUGUGGUUAGAGAGUCUUAUGGCAUGAGUGGAGUCGGAAAAGGUAUGUGGUUUACAUAUUUGAUUUUAAUGUGGAUUCACUUGAAGCUUGAUUUUGACGUUGUAAUUAAGCAUGCCCAAGUGUAAAAAAUUGCCAAGCACAUGCCUUUGCAUAAUGGUUUAGUCUGUUAUUUUUUUCCUUUUAGAUAUGACAUUUCAUGACUAUGGUGUUUUGUAUAGACCUUAAAAUGAAUUAUGUGUUAAGCAA